Molecule: long non-coding RNA, 1600 nt
Organism: Cairina moschata (Muscovy duck)
Lineage: Eukaryota; Metazoa; Chordata; Aves; Anseriformes; Anatidae
Source: Ensembl
ACCUCUGUCUAAAAAUUCUCCGAGAAGAUAAAAGCUGUCUGGGAUCAUUUCAGAUAGUCAAGUGGUAAGUGAGUAACAGCGAAACUAAGACAAGAUUGUGCUGAAUAGCAAGACAUCUGCCCCUCACAUUCUUCUUCUUCCUGCGUUUGAAAAUACUGUGCCCAGUAGUGCGAUUGGAUAUGCCAGUACAACUCCCACUGCUGCAGCGUGUGCUUGGCCCUGUAUGUAAGCAAGACAGAAUUAGCUAGCAGAUCAUGUGAGUUCAAGGUCCCUUGAAGUGUUAACUUCAGUGAGGUCAUGGUCAGGCCCCAGAGCACGCAGGCAGCAUAGGUAGGCAGAGAGAGUAAAGAAAAUCACAAGAUUGAUUCUGGUUUUGUUUGUUUGUUUAUUUGAAUAUUUUCCAGUUUCACUUUUAUAGUGAUUCUUGCAGAUUCUUUUAAGUAUGUCCUAUAUUUUAUCUCCUUGGAUAUUGUGUGUCUAAGUACAUUAUGGCUGUCUUGCGUGUUAUUUAGGAUGCCUUUCAGAAUUAGCAUGUUCUCAGCAAGCAGAGAGUCUGACUUUGAUUUGCUAAGGAGAUAGGCAGCUACAAAGACUCAAGGACCAUUGCUACCUCAAAUAAUAUUUACUGCUUUGAGAAAGUCCUUAGCUGUAAACUAUGCAUCAGAUAGCAAAAAUUUACAAGACCAGGCAUGUCAGGCUGUGUUCAGAGUGAAGUUUCAGCCAAACUCUGUAUGCAGCCAUUGGGAAAAGAGCUGCUGGAGCGCAGUCUCGGGGAGCCAAAACAGCACUGAGCUGAGAGCCACUUUGAGCCAGGCUUCAGGAUUCAAGGUUGUUUUGAUGCUUUGGAGAGGCAGUAUUUGCAUAUCGCUGUCCUAGCAGUAAGUAAAUGGAUGCAAGGCAUUUUUCUUCCUCUACCAUGCUUGACAGAGAUUUGGAGUCAAGGUUGUGUCAAACCAUUUUUUUAAAGGGAAGUCAAAAUAUGUGUGGUUUUUAAUAGAGCAGCGACCUUUCUUAAAUAUGGUAAAUAUGAACUUCCUAGGCUGCGUGGGAACAUUUUCUCAGUAUGUCAGAAUUCUGACUCUGAGGCCUGACAAGAAUCCUUAAAGUCCAAGAAGCACUUUUGUGAGCUUCGUAUUGUUGCUUCCAGCAAAUUCCUGCCUCCAUCCUUGGAAGAAGGAAGCUGCUGUGUCUCCUCCAUUUCCCUCUACAUAGGAGUCCUCUUUAUUACUCUGAUACCAGUGAAACCACACACUAGCAGCUAUGCUGGGAGUCUUUUGCCCUGGUCUUUUGUAAAGCAGCAAUAGCUAUUUUAUGCACCUAUUCUGUGCAUAAUUUGAGCAUUUACAUCUCAGGCAUCAACAGUUACCUCUGAGGGUUGGAAUGGGAAUUAGCCUCAUUCCUCCCCAGUUACACAGAUGAGUGUCUUCUACCUGUCUUUGAAGUGGAAAGUAUUGACUGCUGAUAGAGGAAGGCUGUUUCUCAGCCAUUCCUUUCUCUGAUCCCAUGUUACAGAUAGUACAAUCUCUGCUGUAAUUUGAAAAUAUCAUUGUUUAUAGUCACUUUUCACUGGUUCAUCUUAUCCAAGGGGAGAAUGCGCUCA